GUGGGCAUGCCGGAGUGUUUAUCGGGCAUAACUUGAAAUCAUGUGGGCUUUGCCCGCGCAGGUUCAAAUCAUACUGCUCACG
Transfer RNA from Ipomoea nil (Japanese morning glory), 82 nucleotides. It matches the Rfam family "tRNA". Rfam says of the family: Transfer RNA (tRNA) molecules are approximately 80 nucleotides in length. NCBI's taxonomy places the organism in Eukaryota, Viridiplantae, Streptophyta, Magnoliopsida, Solanales, Convolvulaceae. The record is from Rfam.